UACAGAGGGGGCUAGCGUUAUUCGGAAUUAUUGGGCGUAAAGGGCGCGUAGGCGGCCACGCGUGUCUUUCGUGAAAUCCCUCGGCUUAACUGAGGACGUGCGGAAGAAACUGCGAGGCUUGAGUCCGGGAGAGGGGGGUGGAAUUCCCAGUGUAGCGGUGAAAUGCGUAGAUAUUGGGAGGAACACCGGUGGCGAAGGCGGCCCCCUGGACCGGUACUGACGCUGAGGUGCGAAAGCGUGGGGAGCAAACAGG
RNAcentral lists this ribosomal RNA (253 nucleotides) under uncultured bacterium. Its description in RNAcentral is "partial 16S ribosomal RNA". It matches the Rfam family "Bacterial small subunit ribosomal RNA", at positions 524 to 776 of the family's 1533-position model. The record is from RNAcentral.